RNAcentral lists this long non-coding RNA (1459 nucleotides) under Setaria viridis. RNAcentral's name for it is "long non-coding RNA (SVIR_LNC011271)". Lineage: Eukaryota; Viridiplantae; Streptophyta; Magnoliopsida; Poales; Poaceae. The record is from RNAcentral.
AGCAAUUACACUAAAGACUCUGCAGACGUCUCUCCACCAAAGAGAGCCUUUUUCCUUAGCCAUAUGAGGUACUUCCGAAGAAUAAUAUGUAUUCCAAAUUAGCUGUACCCAUUGGAUGUCUCUCUGAUUAUAAAAUUUAACAGAUGUUUCAAGAGUAAUGCUUUAUUCUAAGUGGUUAGCUUGCUUACACCUGCCUGAUAUUGUCCUUUCCUGUUAAUUUCAGAACCCCUCCAUAGGCAUUUUUUCCUAUAAAUGUCAACUUCCUUGAUGAUUGCAUCUGGUAACUUGAAAAUGCAAGAGACAUGAGUUUACUGAGCAGUAAUUACUGAGUUAACCAAUUGAAGUAUGCCUGAAUAGGUCAGGAACAUAGAACUUUUUUGAAAUAACAGGAACAUAGAACUAAUGAACAUGAUGGCUAUAGUUCCUUCCAGCAGCCAUAGAAACUUUGUUCAUGAAACAAUCACUGGAUAACAAUAUCGAUCAACCGCAAGAUUACCAUUCCGAGCAGAACAUCAUGCUGCCCAUGGGCUAUGGCUGCUGCCUGCUGCUUGUCAACCGAAGUCUGACGAGAGAGUUCUCUCUAGGCGGAGCAGAGCACUCUUCCAUUCCGCGCCAAUCGCCUAUAGGCGGCGCUUGCCGCUUGGUGGUGGCGGCGGCGGCGGCGGCCGGCGUCGUCGAACAAGCUCUGUCCGAGGCGGAGCGGCACAACCACGUCCCGGAGCCGCCACCGCGCUACCUGCGGAGCUGGCCCAUGCCCCGCCUGUGCAAGAUCAGUCGUGCAGCGAACGGCGCGCGCCUCCGGGGGGCGAGGUGGGUAGGGACGACGGCGGCAGCGGCAGGCCAUGGCGGCGGCGGCGCUGGACGGGUGACGAGAAGACGACCCGAACCAGGGACUUUUCUGAAAAUAAUCGGAUCGCGAUCGAUAAUUGCGAUCCCAUUUAGGGGGUUAUUUGAAAAUAUUAGGGGGUAUUAUGAAAAUAUUAGGAUCGAGAUCAUUAAUCGCGAUCCAUAUGAGGGGGUUAUUUGAAAAUGUACAGGGGUGCGUUCUGUAACUAUGGAUCGCGAUUCCAUCCCUCCGCCGCGGCUCGCCGGAGCGCCGCCUAUCGCCGGCCGUCCCUCGGGUACCUCUUCCUCCUUCCGCACGGUUCGCCCCCCGCACCGUCUCUCGUCGACGAACGAUCUCCGGAGCCCUAAGAGGAACCUUCCGCCUGCGCCGUGGUGGCUGUCAGGUCUGGACUCUUGACUCUCAAGCCUGAACUAACUGAAGAUGGCAGACGUGAUGCUGACCUGGAAGAAAAUGGCCUCGCUGUGGCCGUAGGCCGCACGGCGGACGGACAGAGUGGGGGCGGAGGCGACGCCUCGAGCGUGAACUCGCCGGCGGUAUGGUCCACCACGCCCUCCAGGCAGCAGAGUGCCAGGCAGAGCUUCAGACAGGUGCUUGUGCUCGCACGGCCAUCGC